Sphaeramia orbicularis (orbiculate cardinalfish) is the source of this 4527-nucleotide long non-coding RNA. RefSeq lists it as uncharacterized. Lineage: Eukaryota; Metazoa; Chordata; Actinopteri; Kurtiformes; Apogonidae. The transcript has 2 exons. The record is from RefSeq and is a predicted model, not a curated record.
GAAGAGCAGAGAGGAGGAGGAGGAGGAGGAGGAAGAGGAGGAGGUGGGCAGCAGCACAGUUUCAGCUCUCAGAAGACUGAGGAGGAGAAAAAGUGACGGCAGCUAGAACUUGGCCACUAGUGAGAUGAAAUUCGGGGAGGAGACGCUGCUGGAGCGCUGCAGGGUACGACAUCCAACGAGAGCCCGAAAAUUGGACCACAAACCAGCCCUGUUUGGAUCCUGUGUCCCUCAACAGCCGAAGGAUGAGAGGGCUCCACUUUCACCCUAGUUGCCAGGGAUGUCUGUGCACUACGGAAAGACGUCCCCCUCCAGCAUGUCCAAUGCUAUGUUAUUCCUGAUGCUUUGUAAGAUUGGUCUGAGAAGUAAACUGCAGAUUUUUCCAGGGAAAAUGGUAAAUACUGUCUACAGUGAUGAGGAAAAGGGAACCCAAGACAAGGAAAGCAAGGAGGAGAGCAUCCUGGCCAUGUUGGGCAUCAUUGGGACCAUUCUCAACUUGGUAGUCAUCAUCUUCGUCUACAUCUACACCACCUUGUAGGUCUCACGCUUCCUUGGUUUUGGAUCAGACACCCACCUCGCAGAUAUGUUGACUAUCUCGGACUCAAGGAUGGAGGAAACGAGUACGAGGUCUGGAUUUCCCAUCUCUGAACUGAAUCUAAGACUAUGUGUCGGUCAUACGCCGUUUGACCAUCAUCACAUUAGACUGAGACAACGGAAAAGUGGUCUACUCUCCUGCUGCGAUCCCAGUUUAGAGGUAGAAUUAUCCAGAAUAUCUGGAUGCCUUUGACUUGUACAUAAAUGCAUGAAGACGAUGAGAGACGCUCCAGUGAUGCAGCUUUUACCGACGGAAAAGAGACACAAAAGACUGCAGCGAGAGAGGAAAGUUUUCAAAACUAUUUUUCAGAUGUUCUUACCAACUGAAAUAUGGGAUUAUAGAAUUAUCUAAUUUGGGAUUAAAGACGAAGAUGUACAGUGGAAGUACACACAGGUAUCCGCAUUGCUGUUUAUUAUAUUUUCUUAAUAAUUAUCUCAAUAAAACACUGUCUACUAAUUUAAGAUCUGAGCAGACGUGGUUAGGGUUAUCCAGUGUUUUCCUACUGAAUUUCUCACUUUUUUGGAAUAGUAGUUUUAAUUGAGACUGAAUCACUGAUCACCUGAAAAUUACACAUGAUUCUAAGCAUUUGCAGAAACAAGAGGUGGUCUUUUUAAACACCGUUAUGUCAGAUUAAAGUGGAACGCUUAAUGGGUGCACUUGGCUUUAUGCUCGAUAUAAAAUGGUGAAAGGUCAGACGUAGUUACAGACAAAACGGCUUAAUUAUGUGAUUUUCAGAGUUUUAAAAGCUUCACUUCAGCCUCAACAGUCGUUUUUUAGUCACAUGCAGCUACUUGAUAUUUAAAGUAAACAUUGAGUCUUUCUAUAAUUUCCAGCAUGAGUAUAUUUUAACAUGCACAUUUACAGACAUCGGACGUUAUACACUGUCCGUCCACUUACAUACUGUAUAUGUACAUAAAGCUGACUUGGUUGGGAGCGUAGUCUGCAUUUUUCAUUCAUACAUUGAUCUCGGUUUGUGCAUCACUUACUUGUGCAUAAUGACUGUAUGCCUUAAAACUUGAGGAAAUGGAUAUUUCCAUGAUGUAUAAAAUAAUCAGGUUAUUGCUACUUUGUGAGAGGUUUGACUUGCUGUAUAUACUUCGAGUUUAAUGCCAGUGUCAUGUUGUUUUGUUUUGUUUUUUUUGCUAUUGGUGAAAGGUUAUUUUAAUGGGUUGUUUUCUAAAAGUACCCCGCUUUUGUCUUAAGCAUCAAGCAAAAUGUUCAGUUCAUGAAAUGUGACUCUUGUUUCACUUCUAGUGAUCUUUAUCCUUUUCUGUGGUGUAAGACAGGUGUGAGUUUUGACACACUGGACAAUACUGUGAAUGUUGUGAACUUUCUAUUAUCACAGGAACGUUUUCAAUUAACUUUUGGUAUGUUACCCUUUAAAUUACUUAGCAGACACUGUGUUUGUUCUUAAUGUCUUACACACCAUCAAUCUAAUCUCAGAGAUGAAAAAGGUUCUUCAUGUUUUUUUAUUUAUUUAUUAUUUUUUUCUAAAUAGAGCUGGAAAUAAAAUAAAGCUGUAUAUUGGUUAACUAUAAAAUAGGACGCAGCACAGUGCAUUAUUAUAUUCAUUAAUUAAAUCACUUAAAUUACAUUAAAGCAGCUAUUCCCAAAAUAGAUAUCACCUUCCAAGUUGAAAAGUGAAAAUAUUCCGUCAACAAACCCUUUAUUCACUAUUCUAAUCAACACAAGACUAAGAUGUUCAAAUACUGAAGAUUUAUUUUGUUUCAUGAAAUGAACAAUUAAGCCUGUACAUGCAAUUUUACAUGACUUAUCUACAUCUUUUUUUUUUUUUUUUUUACCACAUAUAAUGAUGUUAAGAGUCUUGACCAAGGAUUUAGAAAUGUAAAUUAUGGUAUAAAACCCAGUAAGUUUCUUAUUGAGAAAGCACACCUAUGCAUCUUCAAAAUAAUUGUUCAUACGCAUGAUCUAACAAUUUAUAAAGCAAUAAAUAUAUUUUCCUGCAUUCAUGUAGGUAGUUAAUUCUUAGAAAGGCCUCUAUCAUCUCUGAAAGAGUAUAAUAACCUGCUUACAUUUAAAAUGUCUCAAUUUUUAAGUCAGUAAUAAGAAUAGAAGCAAAUAUUGAACAUUAAAUCGGGUCUAUAAAAUAAUACAAUCACAGCACAAUUUCAAUCCCACGGCUAUUUCUUUUGUAUCUACUCAUAUAUUACUGUGAUUUCAAAUUGAAGAAAAUUCGCAUUUAAAAACAUUUCAUUCAUUUAUUCUGAAUGACCUUCUUCUAGUCCACCUGCAGUACCAUCCCAAUCCACAAGGAGGCCACAGCGUACAUUUUGGGAAUUGUUGCUUUAAAGAACAGCUAAAGGUUUGAUAUGUAAAAUUUGAGCAUGUGCUUGCAUUAAGUUUGUUUUGGAGACCAUUUUGCCCUUUAAGGUGAUCAUAGGUUAAUGUUAGCUGUAAACCAUGUAUAAGCUAAGGAUAUUCUACAACCACGUACAGCAGCUACACAGACUUUGACUUCCACAAGUCCUUAUAUUUGCUCCAAAGAAACUUCAUCAGUGCCUCUGAUCUGCUCCUCUACAGCAGCAUCAGUGAGCAACACUAGCUACUAUAAGUUUUUAUUAUUGUGCUAUGAGUUUAUUGAUAUUAACUAACUCCAUUUCUAACAUAACUGUAAUAGUAGUAAUGUUGCUGCUGUAGAGGAGCAGAACAGAGUUACUGAGGCAUUUAGGAGCAAACACCGACCUGAAGCCUUUACAUAAAUGUUAGCGUACAGCUGCAUUUUUCACUCAAAAUGGGUCACAAAACUGUUUAUAUUGGGUCUCCAAUGGGCAGAGAAAAAUACAUAGCGAAAACAUGAUAUGUGAGUUUAUUUUCUUGAUUAAAAACAGAAAAAUGUGUUGCCUGCCAGAGUUAAUAAAUGAAAACUUCCAUAACAGCAUGUGAAAUGUAGUGCAAAGAUUUCGGCUGUCAAACAAAUAACAAGAUGAAAUGCAACUAAAUUAUGCAAGAAGUUAAAGCAGUUUAAAAUGAUGCAACAAGUCAAAUUAUGUAAAGGGUACAAGAUUAAAAUACAGCAAAAAGACAAAAAAAAAAAGGGAUUGACAGUGGAAGAGUAAGUACAAUGUAGAUUUAUGGCAAUGCAUUACAUAUUUUAUAAGUGUAGGCCCUGAGAAGACACCAAAUUUAUGGGUGUCAAACUGAAAAGUCUGAUGUACAUUAGCUUAAGAAUGGUGGCAGCUAACAUCAAUAAACAACCAUCUUCUAGAGCGAAAUAAAUGCCAAUGCAGACUUUAUAUAAGCAGACAUGAUCCUUACAUACUGAACCUUAAGAGAUUAUUAAAUGUUAUUAAAUAAAGAAGAUAUGAGAUGAAUGACUGUACAGUGCGGUAGGAUUUGUAAGAAUGUAAGAUUGGAUAAAAGGUUGUGUUACAUGUGGAAAAUAUCGUUCUGUCGGUCAAUAACCUCAUGAUUUCAGAAAGUGCCUGAGAUCAAUGUGUCUCAACCUCACCAGUCAAGAGGUGAAGGAGAGGAAAACACAAACCCAGUGAGCUUAUUUUUCUGACACUGUCUCACUGUAAGAAGCUGUUUGUGGGAAAACAUGUAACCUGGAUCCACUCUACCGCGCUCAUAACUGGACUGAAUUUCUACAACAUGGCUCCGUUAUUACAGUUUUUAUUCUCAGAUGGGGUGCUCAUUCAUGUUUUAAAGGGAAAAGGAAGCUUAGUAAGCACAUGGAAAAGUCUUACGAAUGUAUUUAUAUGAUGUAAAAGCUGAUUAUUUCUGUUAUCCUUAUUGUUUACUCAUCUUUCCUUAAACUAUGUAAUCUGAACUAAUCUCAUGUUUUAUUUAUGUGUAUGCUAAAUCUAUUUAAAGUCAUUGGAUAGUCUGUUGUGUGUAACAAAUGGAAGGGUUUAAGAGUUUUUCAGCCUGCAGUUUUGUUAAAAAAUAUUUAAAUAAAUACAUCUCAGACCAAA